This 300-nucleotide unclassified non-coding RNA is filed under the name Laccaria sp. RNAcentral describes it as "partial contains 5.8S ribosomal RNA, internal transcribed spacer 2, and large subunit ribosomal RNA". The stretch from base 1 to 52 matches the Rfam family "5.8S ribosomal RNA", at positions 103 to 154 of the family's 154-position model. The record is from RNAcentral. Lineage: Eukaryota; Fungi; Basidiomycota; Agaricomycetes; Agaricales; Hydnangiaceae. RNAcentral also lists the same sequence under 3 other names.
AACGCACCUUGCGCUCCUUGGUAUUCCGAGGAGCAUGCCUGUUUGAGUGUCAUUAAAUUCUCAACCUUCCAGCUUUUAUUAGCAUGGUUAGGCUUGGAUGUGGGGGUUGUGGGCUUCAUCAAUGAGGUCGGCUCUCCUUAAAUGCAUUAGCGGAACUUUUGUGGACCGUCUAUUGGUGUGAUAAUUAUCUACGCCGUGGAUGUGAAGCAGAUUUAUGAAGUUCAGCUUCUAACUGUCCAUUGACUUGGACAAUUUUGACAAUUUGACCUCAAAUCAGGUAGGACUACCCGCUGAACUUAA